PVC group bacterium is the source of this 72-nucleotide non-coding RNA. Lineage: Bacteria; Pseudomonadati. The record is from Rfam.
GUUUAGAUAGCUCAGAGGUAGAGUGUAGGAUUGAAAAUCCUUUUGUCAUAAGUUCAAAUCUUAUUCUAAACA